CAGCGUGCACGUCAGCUCAUCGCGUAUAUUGAAGUUGUAUUCAGUUAAAACGCUCGUAGUAGAAUUUCGGUAUCAACAUUCAAGGUCAUGGCGUUGGUAUACACUGUUAUUAUUGAUUUCCCACCUUCUACAGAACCGUAGUGCCAUUAACUUGGUGUUAUGGGGAAUUAUGACUGUUACAUUGAAAAAAGUAGAGUGUUCAAAGCAGGCGUCGUCAGGAGCACUCGUAUACUAAACUCGAGGGUAAUCUUGUGAAACUUCAUCGUGAUGGGGAUAGAGCAUUGCAAUUAAUGCUCUUCAGCGAGGAAUCCCUAGUAAGCGCAAGUCAUCAGCUUGUGUUAAUUACGUCCCUGCCCUUUGCACACACCGCCCGUCGCUACGACCGAUUGAAUGGCUUAGUGAGACCCUCGAAUUGGUAUUAAGAAGCUUUAACCGGCAUCGGUUUGCUGAGAAGUUGGUCGAACUUGGUCAUUUAGAGGAGGUAAAAGUCGUAACAAGGUUGCCGUAGGUGAACCUGCGGGAGGAUCAUUAAUGAUUUUUGAAGCGAGUCGAGCGUUAUGAGAGGCUUGCGAAAUAUUUAUAACCCCACUCUUUUUAACUGUUAAAAAAUAAAUCAUGAUCCAUGAAUUUAAAAAAAAAGGUCACUUUCAACAACGGAUCACUUGGCUCUCGCAUCGAUGCAGAACGCAGCGAAAUGCGAUAAGUAGUGUCAAUUGCAUACUUUUGUGAAUCAUCGAAUCCUUGAACGCAAAUUGCACUCCCUGGUAUUCAGGGGAGUAUUCCUGUUUGAGGGUCGUUAGCAUAAAAAAUCGAGGUGUCGCUCUUUUUUUGAAGGGUGAUAGCGUCGGAAUUGAGCCGUCUUUCAAAUGUCAAUUCAUGUCAAAGUGGCUCGAAAUUCAUGCAUCCGGUACGAUUAAAGCGUAUUUAAGAACAACUUUGAUUAAGAACGCUCGAUGAACGCACCAUCUCAUGUAGUACGUGUGACUUGACG
This 991-nucleotide ribosomal RNA is filed under the name Funneliformis mosseae. RNAcentral describes it as "bacterial SSU rRNA". The stretch from base 1 to 531 matches the Rfam family "Eukaryotic small subunit ribosomal RNA", at positions 574 to 1831 of the family's 1831-position model. The record is from RNAcentral. Lineage: Eukaryota; Fungi; Glomeromycota; Glomeromycetes; Glomerales; Glomeraceae.